RNAcentral lists this ribosomal RNA (468 nucleotides) under uncultured bacterium. Its description in RNAcentral is "partial 16S ribosomal RNA". It matches the Rfam family "Bacterial small subunit ribosomal RNA", at positions 28 to 507 of the family's 1533-position model. The record is from RNAcentral.
GACGAACGCUGGCGGCGUGCUUAACACAUGCAAGUCGAACGGAAAGACCCUGCUUUUGUGGGGUGCUCGAGUGGCGAACGGGUGAGUAACACGUGAGUAACCUGCCCUUGACUUUGGGAUAACUUCAGGAAACUGGGGCUAAUACCGGAUAGGAGCUCCUGCUGCAUGGUGGGGGUUGAAAAGUUUCGGCGGUUGGGGAUGGACUCGCGGCUUAUCAGCUUGUUGGUGGGGUAGUGGCUUACCAAGGCUUUGACGGGUAGCCGGCCUGAGAGGGUGACCGGCCACAUUGGGACUGAGAUACGGCCCAGACUCCUACGGGAGGCAGCAGUGGGGAAUAUUGCACAAUGGGCGGAAGCCUGAUGCAGCAACGCCGCGUGCGGGAUGACGGCCUUCGGGUUGUAAACCGCUUUCGCCUGUGACGAAGCGUGAGUGACGGUAAUGGGUAAAGAAGCACCGGCUAACUACGUG